Molecule: ribosomal RNA, 1343 nt
Filed under: uncultured bacterium
Lineage: Bacteria
Description: 16S ribosomal RNA
Rfam family: Bacterial small subunit ribosomal RNA
Source: RNAcentral
GACGAACGCUGGCGGCGUGCUUAACAUAUGCAAGUCGAACGGAAAGGCCCUGCUUUUGUGGGGUGCUCGAGUGGCGAACGGGUGAGUAACACGUGAGUAACCUGCCCUUGACUUUGGGAUAACUUCAGGAAACUGGGGCUAAUACCGGAUAGGAGCUCCUGCUGCAUGGUGGGGGUUGGAAAGUUUCGGCGGUUGGGGAUGGACUCGCGGCUUAUCAGCUUGUUGGUGGGGUAGUGGCUUACCAAGGCUUUGACGGGUAGCCGGCCUGAGAGGGUGACCGGCCACAUUGGGACUGAGAUACGGCCCAGACUCCUACGGGAGGCAGCAGUGGGGAAUAUUGCACAAUGGGCGGAAGCCUGAUGCAGCAACGCCGCGUGCGGGAUGACGGCCUUCGGGUUGUAAACCGCUUUCGCCUGUGACGAAGCGUGAGUGACGGUAAUGGGUAAAGAAGCACCGGCUAACUACGUGCCAGCAGCCGCGGUGAUACGUAGGGUGCGAGCGUUGUCCGGAUUUAUUGGGCGUAAAGGGCUCGUAGGUGGUUGAUCGCGUCGGAAGUGUAAUCUUGGGGCUUAACCCUGAGCGUGCUUUCGAUACGGGUUGACUUGAGGAAGGUAGGGGAGAAUGGAAUUCCUGGUGGAGCGGUGGAAUGCGCAGAUAUCAGGAGGAACGCCAGUGGCGAAGGCGGUUCUCUGGGCCUUUCCUGACGCUGAGGAGCGAAAGCGUGGGGAGCGAACAGGCUUAGAUACCCUGGUAGUCCACGCUGUAAACGGUGGGUACUAGGUGUGGGGUCCAUUCCACGGGUUCCGUGCCGUAGCUAACGCUUUAAGUACCCCGCCUGGGGAGUACGGCCGCAAGGCUAAAACUCAAAGGAAUUGACGGGGCCCCGCACAAGCGGCGGAGCAUGCGGAUUAAUUCGAUGCAACGCGUAGAACCUUACCUGGGUUUGACAUGGAUCGGGAGUGCUCAGAGAUGGGUGUGCCUCUUUUGGGGUCGGUUCACAGGUGGUGCAUGCCUGUCGUCAGCUCGUGUCGUGAGAUGUUGGGUUAAGUCCCGCAACGAGCGCAACCCUUGUUCACUGUUGCCAGCACGUUAUGGUGGGGACUCAGUGGAGACCGCCGGGGUCAACUCGGAGGAAGGUGGGGAUGACGUCAAGUCAUCAUGCCCCUUAUGUCCAGGGCUUCACGCAUGCUACAAUGGCUGGUACAGAGAGUGGCGAGCCUGUGAGGGUGAGCGAAUCUCGGAAAGCCGGUCUCAGUUCGGAUUGGGGUCUGCAACUCGACCUCAUGAAGUCGGAGUCGCUAGUAAUCGCAGAUCAGCAACGCUGCGGUGAAUACGUUCCCGGG